AAGUCGUAACAAGGUUUCCGUAGGUGAACCUGCGGAAGGAUCAUUAACACGUAUCCAAACGUUAAAACCCCCCUGUGAACCUUCAUACUCCUGAAAGCCCUCCCGCGCAUUAGCAAUGGACAUCCCUAGUAAAUCAUCGUCUGAAAGAGAUUUUGAGUUAGGGACAUCCCCUAGCGCGGGACCUGGCGGAGGCUCAAACACUCUGGUGCCCCCAAGCAACCAUCAUCUGAAAGUGUUGGUGAAUUGUGCAAGGGCGGCGUCGUCAACGCUCGCUGUAGGCCCACACGGCCGGCGACCGGAGUCUUCCCUCGAUCUACCACGAGGCCCUUCAAACCCCCCCAUGCAUGGCAAACGCGCGCGCCUAACGGUUGUACGCACCCCUAAAACCGAACAACUGUUAACAAUGGAUAUCUUGGUUCUC
This 421-nucleotide unclassified non-coding RNA is filed under the name fungal sp. Its description in RNAcentral is "partial internal transcribed spacer region". The stretch from base 1 to 46 matches the Rfam family "Eukaryotic small subunit ribosomal RNA", at positions 1786 to 1831 of the family's 1831-position model. The record is from RNAcentral. Lineage: Eukaryota; Fungi.